Molecule: ribosomal RNA, 336 nt
Filed under: Triticum aestivum (bread wheat)
Lineage: Eukaryota; Viridiplantae; Streptophyta; Magnoliopsida; Poales; Poaceae
Description: partial small subunit ribosomal RNA
Source: RNAcentral
AUGGAUUGGUGUGCAGAUGUAUUAACAAUAGAAGUUUUGGCUCUGCUAUUUGGCCUAUUACUUGCACAGAAGACGGGAAGCAACCGUAUUAUUGUUAACUCCAACAAUAUGAAAGUAAUUGACACAAUGAAGAACAGAGGACAUUUAGCGGGAGCGGCGCCGGCAUUGUUCGAUGAUUGUUAUUUUAUGGCUUGCGAUUUUCCGCUUAUUAGAUUUUAACAUUGUAAUAGGGAAGCAAAUAAAGUAGCUGACGAACUUGCUAGGUUAGCUAAAUUUUCUGAGAGUAGGGAUUAGUUCGAGUAGCCUAUGAAUGAUAUUGUAAAGAAUGCCCCUUGA